GGAGAGAUGCCAGAGUGGUUGAAUGGGUCAGUCUCGAAAACUGUUGUGCGGGUAACUGCACCGAGGGUUCGAAUCCCUCUCUCUGAUCCA
Molecule: transfer RNA, 90 nt
Filed under: Chitinophagaceae bacterium
Lineage: Bacteria; Pseudomonadati; Bacteroidota; Chitinophagia; Chitinophagales; Chitinophagaceae
Description: tRNA-Ser
Rfam family: tRNA
About the family: Transfer RNA (tRNA) molecules are approximately 80 nucleotides in length.
Source: RNAcentral